GGCAUUGUAGCCUAGUGGUUAGAGCGUUAGACUCAUGACUUGAAAGUCAGGGGUUCAAUUCCCAAUCCCA
Molecule: non-coding RNA, 70 nt
Organism: Macrostomum lignano
Lineage: Eukaryota; Metazoa; Platyhelminthes; Macrostomidae
Source: Rfam